Molecule: non-coding RNA, 5399 nt
Organism: Rattus norvegicus (Norway rat)
Lineage: Eukaryota; Metazoa; Chordata; Mammalia; Rodentia; Muridae
Source: RefSeq, a predicted model, not a curated record
ACUUUUGGCCCUGAAAAUAUUCCAGUCGCUGCCUUCAGUUACUGGUCUCUUAUUAAUGAUAUACUUAGGACCAUCCCUGCAGCAGUCAGUUCUUGACACUGUGGUCAAUAUUCCCCAGGUUAGGGGGCAAGGGAGCCACUAAAGUAGUUCCAGAAAGAGUCUGCAGCAGACUGAGAGGACGUUUGUUUUACCGAAAGAAUUCAGAACAGGCUUUGGCUAUGUUUACCCUAGGAUGAUAUCAGGAGAAAGUCUUGGCAAGGGCUUUUCAGCCUACUCCAACUGGAGGCUGUGGCCAAGGUCAGGAUCAAUGUUUUAUUUUCCAUGGGUCUCUAACCCAAUGAGGCAGCUUGGUGAAGGGCUGGGGACUGCUACUGGAGUCCUGGAAUUCAGAGCCACAGGGAGGGCUGUAGUUCUACUAAAGAUCAGUACUCCAGUGUUAGCAAUCUCUUUAUUGGAUGUGAAGGCAGGAAGCCCAGCUCAACUGAGACUGCUGACUCAGGAAUGGCAACAGAAAGAGUCCUUAAACCCCCAGCCUGUACUCCACCAAGAGGAGCUGCUUGCUCAAAGAGCUGCACUGAUUGUCCAUUGCCGUUGCACAAGAAAAAUUGGAAGCUCUACCACCAACUCCAGGACAGCUGAGAUAUGUAUUCUUCCACAAUGUGAUACCUUUUGUAGGGUUUAGCUUUUUGGAUAAUGCAAUUAUGAUUGUUUCAGGAACUCAGAUUGAAUUGUCUAUUGUAAUUAUUUUGGGAAUUUCAACAAUGGCAGUCAACAUGUUAUCUUUUCCAUGUAUUAACAUAUUAAUUAACUUUCAGUUAUUUAUACUGUACUGCACUGACUUGGGGUUUGCUUAUUUGUCCCCACCAGCGGGGACCCAGUUAUUCAGGGUCCCAAAGGGGUGCUACCCUUGGGCCUAAAUGGGGGGCGAGAGAAGAAGGAGACCAAGCAAGAUUCUGUUGUCAAGGUCUCGUUUAUUGGGAUGAAUGUUACAGCUUUUAAGGCUUUCAGGUAGGGGGAGUGACCUUUGUGAAAUAUGAAGGAGGGGGAGAUGAGGAUAUAGGCAGUGAUAGUUGGAGGCAAAGAAGUCAGGCAAUGAGGUCAGGUGGUGGAGACACUGGGUGUUGACUGAAGAGAUAACUGGUAUCUGCUAAGGGAGCUGAGGCAUCCCUUGAAUGUUAUCUUCCAGUGCCGUAAAUUCAUGGGAGAGGCUUUGUCCAACAAUCUUAAGACUUAUGGCAGUCAUCUUAGGGGUGAGUAUCUGUGGCCAAACAUCCCAGAGUCACCUAGCCACUUUGAGCCAAGCAGUUAAAAAAGCGGCUAGGCCCAAAUCCAAUAUGGCUCCGUGCACUUAUUUCUUACAUAACAUGCACAGGAUACCUAUUUAUGUCUUUAUUUUUUUUCCCAAUGGUUAUAAUUCAAUGCUGAGGUUUCUCCAAAUUAUUUAAGAUGUUUAAUAUCAGUUAAAAUUGUAAUUUUCUGCCUGGUGGCAUCCCUUCUGUGAUAUUUCACGGUAAACAUUUACAAUCAUAUAAAUUCAUUCAAUUUUUAAAGUUCCACAUCUAUCCAAAAUGGAGCAGUGUUUUCAGUAUAUCUGACUAUUUUAAUUUUGACCCAUACUGUCUUUAAGAGUCAGAGGUUAAUCAGAAAGAACAAUUGUCUGGUCCACGUUUUACAUAAACCAAGCAUGCUAACAAGUGUACUUGUUUCUGAUUGGGUUUUUACGUUUAAUUUCCCAACUUUGAGCAAUCACAGUGAAUUCUGGUUUGUGAGAGAAAGGCUAUUCUUGGAGACUUUCUGUGUCUUAGAAUAUGGUCAAAGAAAGCAUGAAAAAGGUGAGAGAGGGCCUAGAAAAAAGACACACACACACACACACACACACACACACACACACACACACAGAGAGAGAGAGAGAGAGAGAGAGAGAGAGAGAGAGAGAGAGAGAGAGAGAGGCGAAAGCUGGUGUCAAAAUAGGUUUUCCAUCUCUCCUUGGCUGACUGCCCUUCUUCCCUCUUUGUUGGGGCCCUUGGUUGGCCUCCUUUUGCUCAUAUCUUUUGGCUCUUGGGUCUUUAAUAGCUUAACUAGCUUAUUAAACAACAAAUAGAUACUUUAGCAGUGAAACCUAUUCAAGUACAUUAUAUAGAUUGGCUUCAGAGGAUUUAGGUGAAGAAGGUUCAGCCUCAAGUCCCAUCUCCAACCAACCCUGAUUUGGGCGAUAUUGCCCUUGGACUGCCUAACAUUGGCCCUACUUGCAAAGAUAGCCUCCUUCACCUUUCAGUCUGUCUGUCCCCUGCCGGGUAUUGGCAACUUUUGAGAAACCCCCCUAUUCACCUAAGACAGGAGUCCUUAAGUCUGAUUGGGUAUCCAGUGACGGGUAAGAUUGUGUGCUCCUUGAUCAAUCCGAAGACAGGCUCUACCCCAAAAGGAUAAAAGGGAAUUCGUUCCCCACUGAGCUACCUGCCACCUUGGAGUGCUAAAAUCAGGGGCCUUUCAUCCUUUAUUACAGGGAAGGGGGAGAUGUGGGGAGCUGACUUGCCUGAGACCCCAACAUUGAUCUAAUUAGGACAGACAAAUAACAUAUGAAGGUUUAUCUAAAGACAAACUCAGUGGAAAAAACCCAGUGUUCUAGCUAAGCUCACAGAAGUGCUGAUACAAAUAUGGUGGCCAGCGUUGCUUAGUAAUAAGCUUGCCAAGUGGAGGCUUGUGACCUCCAAGCUUGUUGGGAGCUAGCUUCUUACAGACCAAGGGCUUGUUAUCUUUGCAAAGAGAUAGCUUCCUACAGACCUAGGGCUUGUGGCUUUUAGGAGCCACCUUCUUACAAGACCUAGGCCAACAUCCUGCAGGUGUGAGCCAACUACCUUAUUGGCUAGUACAUCAAGGUCUCCCAGCCCCCUGAAGAUUUCCUCCUCCUCCAGCCUUGCUAUAGUAUAUAACCAGAACUUGCAAGAAUUAAAAUUGUCACCUUGAUCAUACUCUUGUCAUCCUUCUUCGUGUCUCUUGUCCCCCAUUCUCUUCCAGGUACCCUCUUGACCCUUGUUGACUGUCCUGCAGGAUGGGAUAUUACAUGACCACAAGUUCCCCCAAGUGGACCUCUGUUCUAGAGCUUGUGGAUAUCAUCUUCCCAGAGACGCCAAGCCUGACUUCCUAUGCACACCACAUCCUGUGUGUUCCUUCACUGCAUCUUCCUGCUGGAACCUAAGUUCCCAGAGAAUAGGAACUGCCUAUGUGUUUUCUCUGGAGCCCUUCCCAUAAUGCCUAGCUCACAGUGCUCAGUGAGUAUAACUGACAAUGUGAAUAUGAACAGAGUGCAGCGGGAUAUGGAGAGUAAAUCACUUACCUGACAAAGCGACAUAAAGAACAGUUACAGCUACAAUGAGGACCAUGAUCACUACAGAGCAGAGAUGAUGGGAAACUGUGGUCAAGGCGUAAAGUGAAUAAAUACGUUUAAAAAAAUAUAAAAAAAAAGGAUCUCUUUUGAAACUCUGGCCUUCAAAACUGUAAUAGAGAUUCAUGUUUUUGUUGCUGUUUAAGCCUCUUUGUCUAUUCUUAAGAUUUAUUUAUUUUUCAUUCAUGUGUACGAAUGCUUGCCUGCCUGCAUGUAUAUAUAUGUAUCAUGUGCGUACCUGGUGCCCACAGUGGUAAGAACAGGAUAUUGUGUCUCCUGGAACUCAUGGAUCAUUGCUAGCCAUACAGGGUCUUGGGAGCCAUACCUGGAUGCCCUGCAAGAACAGUCAGGCCUCUAAGCUGCUGAGUGAUCUCUCCAUCCCUCAGCAGAAUUUUCUUUACUUACAUUUUAAAUGUUAUUCCUCUACCCGGUUUCCUGUCCAUAAGCCCCCAUUCCUUCCCCUCUCCCUCCCCCAUACGGGUUUUUCCCCAUACUUCCCCCCGGUAUUGCCCCAACACACACUUAUUCCCUUGCACUGGGGGUCCAACCUUGGCAGGACCAAGGGCUUCCCCUUCCACUGGUGCUCCAACAAGGUUAUUCUCUGCUACCUAUGAGGUUGGAGCCCAGGGUUAGUCCAUGUAUAGUCUUUGGGUAGUGGUUAAGUCCCUGGAAGCUCUGGUUGGUUGGCAUUGUUGUUUUUAUGGGGUUGUUUUAAAGAACAGCACUAACAUACAACUAUGUUUGUUUUGCUGCUGUGGUUUCUGUUUUGGAGGCAGUGUCUGUAUGAUGCCCUGGCUGGCCUAGAGCUCUCUAUGCAGACUAGGCUGGCCUAUAACUCACAGAGAUCUCCCUGCUUCUGCCUCUCAGGAACUGAGGGAAAGGCUUAUUAUAAUAGAAUAUGACUUUGUAUAUCAUCUGAAAGUUAGCAAUAACUACAUCUAAACAAUAUCGACCAAAGGGAACACUGUGGCCAACUGGGUCCCUGCUGCUAUCCUUCAUGGCAGACAUGUCCUUUUCACUAGGCAGGAAAAUAGCAAAAUUAAAAUUUCAUUUCCUUUAGGUAGUGGUGAAUUGUGACUGUGAAAAGUUGUUCUGAACAGCUGUCACCUAUAGGUGGCAGUAGUGUCACUCAGAGGUUACAGUCUACUGAAGACCAUGACUGCUUUUUCAUUUUCAUCUCCAUGAUGCAAGAGUGGUAGAACAAACGGCAUAUUUCCUGGUUGGUAAAGUAUCCUCAAGAACAAGCUGACCAGUAGUAUUGUCAUUCCUAGUCACAUUUUGGAUAUGAAGAAACACUUUGACUGGGACUACUAAGCUUAUCAUGGUUCAGGCUUAUAUAUAAUAGGGUAAUCUGAACUUUUUUGAUAUGUGAUUUAGAACAAGUUUUUUGUAUGAAUAUUAAACAAACAUUGGGCAACAAGAUUUAGUGUAACAAACUAUUAACUAGUUCUAUGUCGGGAGCCAUAUUGGAUUUGGGCCUGGACGCUUUGUGACUGUAUGGCUCAAAGUGGCUACGUGACUCUUGGCUACAUGGCCACGGAUGUUCAAUCUUGAAAUGACUGCCAUAAGUCUAGAGAGUGUUGGACAAAAGCCUCUCCCAUGAAUUUACGGCACAGAAAGAUAACUUUCACAGGAUGUUUCAGUCUGAGCAAACACCAGACAUCUCCGGCGUCUCCAUUGCAUGACCUCUUCACCUUCUGCUCUCGCUGCUGGAAUGCCCUCCUCCCUCCAUCCUUUGUGUUUCACAAAGGACACUCCCCCUACCUGAAAGCCUUAAAAGCUGUAAUGUUCACCCCAAUAAACGAGACCUUGACAACAGAACUUUUGCUUGGUCUCCUUCUUCUCUUCACCCCCAUUUGGCCUACAGGUAGAAAGCCUCUUCGGGACCCUGAAUAACUGGACCUGCUGGACGGGUCAGUUCUAUUAUUAGUUAUUAGUUACUAAUAUUAUAGAAUACUAGACAGUUUUGGGGUGUCAGUUCUUUUUUUCUGAAACUUUUUUAUCUUGUUAUUCUUUU